This 440-nucleotide ribosomal RNA is filed under the name uncultured bacterium. Its description in RNAcentral is "partial 16S ribosomal RNA". It matches the Rfam family "Bacterial small subunit ribosomal RNA", at positions 338 to 795 of the family's 1533-position model. The record is from RNAcentral.
CCUACGGGUGGCAGCAGUGGGGAAUAUUGCACAAUGGGGGAAACCCUGAUGCAGCGACGCCGCGUGAGUGAAGAAGUAAUUCGGUAUGUAAAGCUCUAUCAGCAGGGAAGAAAAUGACGGUACCUGAGUAAGAAGCCCCGGCUAACUACGUGCCAGCAGCCGCGGUAAUACGUAGGGGGCAAGCGUUAUCCGGAUUUACUGGGUGUAAAGGGAGCGUAGACGGGAGUGCAAGUCUGGAGUGAAAGGCGGGGGCUCAACCCCCGGACUGCUUUGGAAACUGUACGGCUGGAGUGCAGGAGAGGUAAGUGGAAUUCCGAGUGUAGCGGUGAAAUGCGUAGAUAUUAGGAGGAACACCAGUGGCGAAGGCGGCUUACUGGACUGUAACUGACGUUGAGGCUCGAAAGCGUGGGGAGCAAACAGGAUUAGAUACCCCAGUAGUC